AACGCACAUUGCGCCCAUUGGUAUUCCGAUGGGCAUGCCUGUUCGAGCGUCAUUAUCAACCCUCAAGCCCCUUUGGCUUGGUGUUGGAGACUGGCGGGGCGCAUGCGCCCGGAGCCACUCCCAAAUACAAUGACGGCGGCGACGAUGACCCCCGGCACACUGAGCUUCUCACCGAGCACGUGCUGGAAGGGUCUUGUGGCCACGGUCUGCCUCCCCUCUGGGAGAAACGGAUUUCAUCCACCAAGGUUGACCUCGGAUCAGGUAGGGAUACCCGCUGAACUUAA
Molecule: unclassified non-coding RNA, 284 nt
Filed under: uncultured Chaetothyriales
Lineage: Eukaryota; Fungi; Ascomycota; Eurotiomycetes; Chaetothyriales
Description: sequence contains 5.8S rRNA gene, ITS2, 28S rRNA gene
Rfam family: 5.8S ribosomal RNA (bases 1-52)
Source: RNAcentral